RNAcentral lists this transfer RNA (87 nucleotides) under Hyphochytrium catenoides. RNAcentral describes it as "trnS1(gct)". It matches the Rfam family "tRNA". From Rfam's summary of the family: Transfer RNA (tRNA) molecules are approximately 80 nucleotides in length. Their secondary structure includes four short double-helical elements and three loops (D, anti-codon, and T loops). The record is from RNAcentral. Lineage: Eukaryota; Hyphochytriomycetes; Hyphochytriales; Hyphochytriaceae.
GAAAAGGUGACUGAGCGGUUGAAAGUGUUGGUUUGCUAAACCAAAACAUAUAUUUAUAUGUCAUGGGUUCGAAUCCCAUCCUUUUCA